RNAcentral lists this ribosomal RNA (253 nucleotides) under uncultured bacterium. RNAcentral describes it as "partial 16S ribosomal RNA". It matches the Rfam family "Bacterial small subunit ribosomal RNA", at positions 524 to 776 of the family's 1533-position model. The record is from RNAcentral.
UACGAAGGGUGCUAACGUUGUUCGGAAUCACUGGGCGUAAAGCGCGCGUAGGCGGCUUUUCAAGUAAGGGGUGAAAUCCCCAGGCUUAACCUGGGAAUUGCCUUUUAAACUGUAAAGCUAGAGUAUUGGAGGGGAUAGCGGAAUUGCUAAUGUAGAGGUGAAAUUCGUAGAUAUUAGCAGGAACACCGGUGGCGAAGGCGGCUAUCUGGACAAUUACUGACGCUGAAGUGCGAAAGCGCGGGGAUCAAACAGG